Molecule: long non-coding RNA, 553 nt
Organism: Alosa sapidissima (American shad)
Lineage: Eukaryota; Metazoa; Chordata; Actinopteri; Clupeiformes; Clupeidae
Exons: 2
Source: RefSeq, a predicted model, not a curated record
AACCGUCUUCGGUGCAGCCCAGAGCAGUCGAGAAAGAGACAACGGAAUUACGUACGCUCUGCUCCCACCCCCUCCUGCUCCUCCCCUCCCCCACAGAGUUCAAGUUCUACAGUGAAGUGUACUGCGAGAAUGGCCGAAAGUUCUAGGAAGAGACCUCUAUCGCUUCCAGCUAAAAAAAACUCGAUCUGAGGCGAAAAGAAUAUCAGAUGGGAAGCAAGCAAAUACACGUUAAUCUAGGGAGUGUUUUCCACCGAUGGAGACAGCUUGGAUAGCAAGGAGAUGCAGUUUGAUUCUGAACUUGCGACAUUUCUUCUUGACUGGAUCAGAUCACCUCUUCAUUUCCUGUGGCUCAUCAACAUGAAGCGUGACUCGUUAGCCCAACUUCUUGCUGUUGAAGACUAAGGACUAUCCAUGUGCCCAGCUGCUUCCCUCCUGCCUCAUAUAGUCCAAAAGUUACAUUUCUAUUCAUGUUGUUGCACUUGGUAGAUGUAAAGUUUAUUCCUGUCUUGUAGUUUUAUAAUAAAUACCAAGAAUCAGGAUUGGUGAAACAUUG